Molecule: ribosomal RNA, 273 nt
Filed under: uncultured bacterium
Lineage: Bacteria
Description: partial 16S ribosomal RNA
Rfam family: Bacterial small subunit ribosomal RNA
Source: RNAcentral
UACGUAGGGCGCAAGCGUUAUCCGGAAUUAUUGGGCGUAAAGAGCUCGUAGGCGGUUUGUCGCGUCUGCCGUGAAAGUCCGGGGCUCAACUCCGGAUCUGCGGUGGGUACGGGCAGACUAGAGUGAUGUAGGGGAGACUGGAAUUCCUGGUGUAGCGGUGAAAUGCGCAGAUAUCAGGAGGAACACCGAUGGCGAAGGCAGGUCUCUGGGCAUUAACUGACGCUGAGGAGCGAAAGCAUGGGGAGCGAACAGGAUUAGAUACCCGUGUAGUCC